Molecule: ribosomal RNA, 252 nt
Filed under: uncultured bacterium
Lineage: Bacteria
Description: partial 16S ribosomal RNA
Rfam family: Bacterial small subunit ribosomal RNA
Source: RNAcentral
UACGUAGGGUCCAAGCGUUAUCCGGAAUCACUGGGCGUAAAGCGUGCGUAGGUGGCGUGUUAAGUGUGAUGUUAAAUCGUGUGGCUCAACCAUAUCGAUGUGUCGCAUACUGGCAUGCUAGAGGACAGCAGAGGCAAGUGGAAUUAGUAGUGUAGCAGUGAAAUGCGUAGAUAUUACUAGGAACACCAAUGGCGAAGGCAGCUUGCUGGGCUACUCCUGACACUGAGGUACGAAAGCUGGGGAGCGAACAGG